This is a long non-coding RNA of Beta vulgaris subsp. vulgaris (sugar beet), 705 nucleotides long. RefSeq lists it as uncharacterized. The transcript is spliced from 3 exons. The record is from RefSeq and is a predicted model, not a curated record. NCBI's taxonomy places the organism in Eukaryota, Viridiplantae, Streptophyta, Magnoliopsida, Caryophyllales, Amaranthaceae.
AAGAUUAAUGUGUUGUCUUUUGAACAACAAACACAGGUUCUCAAGUACACCUUAAUAAAUUGAUCUAGAGAUGGAAUGAAACAUCAUGUCUUGGGAUUUAAAUAGUUUUAUGUGGCCUCGCUAUGACUAUCCAGGGGUUUAUGGUGACCUUCCUCUACUUAGGAUCACUUUACUAAUACGUAGCUGGUUGAUCUUUUAGUUUUGAGAUAUUACAUCUGACAUUGCUGUUCUGAGUUCUUACUUGUUUGCCUUUUGAUAUCUUUUUUGCUGAUCACUCUGUGGGGCUCUUCAAAUUAUACAUCUGAAGCAAAUGGUUUCUUGAGAAAAUUGGUCAUGAAGGUCUGAAUAAUUUAUUGAUGGCCUAUGAAGAUAAAUCAGCAUAUGCUUUAUGUGUAUUCUCUCUUGCCCUCGGACCAAGUGCAGAUCCUAUCACUUUUGUGGGUAAAACUAUGAGGUUGUUGUGGUGUCCUGAGGAGCAGGUUUUGAAUCAAUCUGAUGGUGAUGAUGUUUUUAGGGUUUGACAAUGAUGAUGAAGCUAUUGCAAGGAUGGAGGAAUCACCAUCAGGCAAAAGGGUGACAUGCAUAUUUCUUCAGUUUAGAUUUAUAACUCUUACCUGUUCUUCACGGAACUUUUUGUAGAAUACUAAUUAAGGUGUCGUAAAGGCAUAUGAGAUUUUUUUUGCAAUUAUUAGCUAGUUGUUUAUA